RNAcentral lists this ribosomal RNA (478 nucleotides) under uncultured bacterium. Its description in RNAcentral is "partial 16S ribosomal RNA". It matches the Rfam family "Bacterial small subunit ribosomal RNA", at positions 28 to 523 of the family's 1533-position model. The record is from RNAcentral.
GACGAACGCUGGCGGCGUGCUUAACACAUGCAAGUCGAACGGUAAGGCCCUUCGGGGUACACGAGUGGCGAACGGGUGAGUAGCACGUGGGUGAUCUGCCCUGCACUUCGGGAUAAGCCUGGGAAACUGGGUCUAAUACCGGAUAGGACCCUGGGAUGCAUGUCCUGGGGUGGAAAGCUUUUGCGGUGUGGGAUGGGCCCGCGGCCUAUCAGCUUGUUGGUGGGGUGAUGGCCUACCAAGGCGACGACGGGUAGCCGGCCUGAGAGGGUGACCGGCCACACUGGGACUGAGAUACGGCCCAGACUCCUACGGGAGGCAGCAGUGGGGAAUAGUGCACAAUGGGCGCAAGCCUGAUGCAGCGACGCCGCGUGAGGGAUGACGGCCUUCGGGUUGUAAACCUCUUUCAGCACCGACGAAGCGCAAGUGACGGUAGGUGCAGAAGAAGGACCGGCCAACUACGUGCCAGCAGCCGCCGUAA